This 380-nucleotide ribosomal RNA is filed under the name uncultured eukaryote. RNAcentral describes it as "partial 18S ribosomal RNA". It matches the Rfam family "Eukaryotic small subunit ribosomal RNA", at positions 592 to 976 of the family's 1831-position model. The record is from RNAcentral.
CAAUAGCGUAUAUUAAAGUUGCUGCAGUUAAAAAGCUCGUAGUUGCAUUUCCGAGGCAAGGGAUUAGUCCGACCUUUGGUGGGUAUUUAAUCCUCUUGCCUCGUCCUUGAGUGGUGCUUCUUGGUAUUAAGUUAUCGAGGAGAUAGCCGCUCAUCGUUUACUGUGAGAAAAUUGGAGUGUUCAAAGCAGGCUUAUGCCGUUGAAUAUAUUAGCAUGGAAUAAUAAGAUAGGACCUCGGUACUAUUUUGUUGGUUUGAGAACCAAGGUAAUGAUGAAUAGGGACAGUUGGGGGUAUUCGUAUUCAGUUGUCAGAGGUGAAAUUCUUAGAUUUACGGAAGACGAACUACUGCGAAAGCAUUUACCAAGGAUGUUUUCAUUAA